Molecule: ribosomal RNA, 479 nt
Filed under: uncultured bacterium
Lineage: Bacteria
Description: partial 16S ribosomal RNA
Rfam family: Bacterial small subunit ribosomal RNA
Source: RNAcentral
GAUGAACGCUAGCGGGAGGCCUAACACAUGCAAGCCGAGCGGUAUUUGUUCUUCGGAACAGAGAGAGCGGCGCACGGGUGCGGAACACGUGUGCAACCUGCCUUUAUCUGGGGGAUAGCCUUUCGAAAGGAAGAUUAAUACCCCAUAAUAUAUUGAGUGGCAUCAUUUGAUAUUGAAAACUCCGGUGGAUAGAGAUGGGCACGCGCAAGAUUAGAUAGUUGGUGAGGUAACGGCUCACCAAGUCAAUGAUCUUUAGGGGGCCUGAGAGGGUGAUCCCCCACACUGGUACUGAGACACGGACCAGACUCCUACGGGAGGCAGCAGUGAGGAAUAUUGGACAAUGGGUUAGCGCCUGAUCCAGCCAUCCCGCGUGAAGGACGACGGCCCUAGGGGUUGUAAACUUCUUUUGUAUAGGGAUAAACCUACUCUCGUGAGAGUAGCUGAAGGUACUAUACGAAUAAGCACCGGCUAACUCCGUG